UGGACCCUUUGGUGGGCGCUGCCCAGUGACCUUCAAGAAGAUGUACGAGCAGAAGCAGAAGGAGCUGCUGAAGCAGUUUGAGAAGCAGGAGAAGAAGCUCAGAGACCUCAAAGCCGGGGGGCAAAUCCACCAAGCAGGCGGAGAAGCAGACCAAGGAGGCGCUGACGAGGAAGCAGCAGAAGUGCCGGCGCCGGGCGGGGCAGCGAGGAGCGGGGCGAGGGGCCGGAGCUGCUGAGGCGGCCGCGCGAGUACAGCGUCCGCUUCACCUUCCCCAACCCGCCCCCCCUCAGCCCCCCCAUCCUCGGCCUGCACGGGGUGGAUUUUGGCUACGAGGGGCAGGAGCUGCUGUUCCACAACCUCGACUUCGGCAUCGACAUGGAGUCCAGGGUUUGCAUCGUGGGCCCCAAUGGGGUUGGGAAGAGCACGUUGCUGCGGCUGCUGACGGGGCAGCUGACCCC
Long non-coding RNA from Colius striatus (speckled mousebird), 458 nucleotides. RefSeq lists it as uncharacterized. The transcript is spliced from 4 exons. NCBI's taxonomy places the organism in Eukaryota, Metazoa, Chordata, Aves, Coliiformes, Coliidae. The record is from RefSeq and is a predicted model, not a curated record.